RNAcentral lists this ribosomal RNA (234 nucleotides) under Staphylococcus aureus. RNAcentral describes it as "partial 16S ribosomal RNA". It matches the Rfam family "Bacterial small subunit ribosomal RNA", at positions 196 to 425 of the family's 1533-position model. The record is from RNAcentral. Lineage: Bacteria; Bacillati; Bacillota; Bacilli; Caryophanales; Staphylococcaceae.
AAAAGUGAAAGACGGUCUUGCUGUCACUUAUAGAUGGAUCCGCGCUGCAUUAGCUAGUUGGUAAGGUAACGGCUUACCAAGGCAACGAUGCAUAGCCGACCUGAGAGGGUGAUCGGCCACACUGGAACUGAGACACGGUCCAGACUCCUACGGGAGGCAGCAGUAGGGAAUCUUCCGCAAUGGGCGAAAGCCUGACGGAGCAACGCCGCGUGAGUGAUGAAGGUCUUCGGAUCG